This 2627-nucleotide long non-coding RNA is filed under the name Felis catus (domestic cat). RNAcentral describes it as "lncRNA (ENSFCAG00000053569.1)". The record is from RNAcentral. Lineage: Eukaryota; Metazoa; Chordata; Mammalia; Carnivora; Felidae.
AUGCCUUUAUCCCUGACGGCGUUGCCAGCCAGUAGAGCCGGCCUGUCCUACCACAGGCGCCUGCGCCCUGCUCUGAGCUCACACAAUCGGAGUCCUUCCGCUGGUGAUGGGAACCCACUUCAGAGAAACCUUUCACCGCAGUGGUGGGGGGUGGGGGGUGGGGGGCAACCGGGAUACACAGGGCAGGUGGGGGUUGAAGCACAGCGAGGGUUUCGGUACUCUCCAGUAGCUGCGUGCACUGUAGGCCUUGACCUUGGCUGGAGCGCUAAGUUCCGACUGUGUUUAAGGCAAGGAUUUUCAAGGUCAGAACUUUUCAGCAGAGAAGCUUCGAUGACGGUUGCGGCCGUCAGGCAGGCGUUGGAGUUAGAACACACAGUGGACAGGCUUGGCCCUGGUGGCUCAGCCCAGCGGGGUUUCUUGCCUGCAGUGUCUGAAAGGAUGUGCUGGGGAACUACCCUCUGCGUGACAGCUGCAGUGAAUUCUGAUUUAUGGCUGCUGUGCCUCCCUCUGCCACCUGGGGCUAGGAGCUUUUGGAAAGGCUUUCUGGCAGCCAGUGCAGGUUAUGCGAGGAAAAGACUGCCAUCCCACAGGGCACGUGCCACAGCUAUCGGUUGCCUGUGCCUGUGAUGUAAUGAGGCCUAUGUCCCAGAAGACUUAAGUCAGCAACCUCUUCCGGGGACCACCAGGAUUGGUUAGUUGUUUGACUUCCAGACAUUUUGGGGGGUGGGGGUGGGGCAGGCCUCUUCUGGCUUUGGAGUUAAGCCUCUCUGGGUAGCUUACCUCACUACCAGGACAUUACUCUCUGAUCUCCAAUUCUGGGCCCGGGAAAGGAUGGUCGUCAAUGGCUCACAAUUCUAUUCAAGUCACUAGAGAAUUCUGAGCACUUAACUCCACAUCAGGCAUCCUGCGUCAGAAAUGGAGGACAGUGGUGACCAAGAUGGUGGUUCCAAUUUCAAGGAAUUUACAAAACAACAAUAGCUUCCCAUGUGCUAGCCAUAUCUCAAGCUCUGUCCUAAGCCCUCGAUACUUAAUCUUUACCACAUCUGUAUGUAGUAGAGGUACUCAUGUUAUCCCUGUUUUACAGAUGAGAACACUGAGUCACAGAAGAUCAGCUAGUCCGUUGCAGAGCCAGGGUUUGAACCCCGGCAGUCUGACUCUAGAGUUGAUGCUUCAACUAUGACCGUUUGCUACGUUAGACCAUCGAGGGGAGGUCUGCAGAAGGCGCAUGUAUGUUAAGUGCUGUGGCAUUGAGCACAGACAUGGUGAGAGCAGAGGAAAUCAUCAUGGGGAGAUGAGGCAACCAGACAUUACUUCCCAGAGGAGGUGAGGUCUAAGCCGAGAGCGAAGGUGGGGCUCCUUGCUAGGCAAGGUGGAUGGGCACAGGGGCUCGGGGCCAGAGAAAAGGAAAUGCAAAAGUCUCAUGGUGAGAGAGAGCAUGGCUUGUUUAAAGAAUAGAAGGAAUUCAGGGUGGUUGAAUCACAGAUUGCAUGGCAGGAAACAUUCAGAAUGAGGUAGGAGAGCCUUAUUCACUCACUCAGCAAACAUUCAUUGAGCACCUGCUGCGUGUCAGGCAUUGAGGCAAGACAACACGGAUUGAUACAAAUAAGGUGAUGCCCUCCUGGAGCUGAUCAUCUAAAACCUGACAUGACGCCUCCUCAUCUCACCAGCGAAAAAACUUAAUUAAACUUGGAAAGAAGGCAAAAGGUGAGUAGCAUGGUCUCUCAAUAUCGACCGCCGCACUGUGUAACAGACUCACACCAAGACUGUUGCAGUGUCUAGCAACAUGCCUGUGUUUGACGUUGCUAUUUACCAGUAGUUAUGAAAUCACUGUUGGUGAAGUUAAAUGCCCCAUGUAGGUAUCUAUCAGGUAGAAAAGAUAACCUCAAAGGUGACAGUUUUACUGACCUAUAGCAUGUUAACAAAUUUUAUCUGUCUCAGUGCGUUGCUUUUCUAUCGUUGCCAUAGCAAAUAACUACUGACUCAGUGGCUUAAGAGGACACCAGUGUAUCAUUUUACAGCUUGAAAGGUCAAAAGGUCAAAGCAGGUGUCACCACACUGAAACCAAUUUGUAUGUAGACUGCAUUGCCUUCUGGAGGCUCAAGGGCAGAAUCCUUUUCCUGCUCAUUCUGGUUGUGGGAAGAAUACACCUUUUCAGGUGUAGAACAGAGGCCCUUGCGUUCUUGCCAACUGUAAAGUGAGGGCCAUUUGUAGCUGACCGAGGCUUCUGUUUCUUAGCCUGUGGCCCUCUUCCUCAGUCUCAAUGAGAAAGAACGAAAUAUGGCCCUUUGUAGCAACGUGGAUGGAACUGGAGAGUGUGAUGCUAAGUGAAAUAAGCCAUACAGAGAAAGACAGAUACCAUAUGUUUUCACUCUUAUGUGGAUCCUGAGAAACUUAACAGGAACCCAUGGGGGAGGGGAAGGAAAAAAAAAAAGAGGUUAGAGUGGAAGAGAGCCAAAGCAUAAGAGACUCUUAAAAACUGAGAACAAACUGAGGGUUGAUGGGGGGUGGGAGGGAGGGGAGGGCGGGUGAUGGGUAUUGAGGAGGGCACCUUUUGGGAUGAGCACUGGGUGUUGUUUGGAAACCAAUUUGACAAUAAAUUUCAUACAUUGAAAAAAAUAAAAAAGAAA